GUAUUUCGGACCAGAAACGUUCUUUUAUUGAGAAGUUUGUCAAACUUGGUCAUUUAGAGGAAGUAAAAGUCGUAACAAGGUUUCCGUAGGUAAACCUGCGGAAGGAUCAUUA
This 112-nucleotide ribosomal RNA is filed under the name Acaulospora sp. ZS2005. Its description in RNAcentral is "partial 18S ribosomal RNA". It matches the Rfam family "Eukaryotic small subunit ribosomal RNA", at positions 1724 to 1831 of the family's 1831-position model. The record is from RNAcentral. Lineage: Eukaryota; Fungi; Glomeromycota; Glomeromycetes; Diversisporales; Acaulosporaceae.